Molecule: long non-coding RNA, 2366 nt
Organism: Gallus gallus (chicken)
Lineage: Eukaryota; Metazoa; Chordata; Aves; Galliformes; Phasianidae
Exons: 2
Source: RefSeq, a predicted model, not a curated record
UGGGCGGGCCGCCGCCGCCCGCGGGGAUGGGAGCGCAGAGCGGGGCUGUCGGGGCGCUCGAGGCUGCGGGCGGCCCCGGUGCGGCUUUCCUGGACGGCGUUUGCCGAACGGUGGCCGAAGCCGCGGAGCGGCGGGUGGCUGACGGGGCACGUGCAGCCGCGCUGCCCGGCAAUUCAUCCCGCGCCGCCUCUGCCGCGUCCCCGGGCCGGGUCAGGGCGCUGAAUCCGCAGCGCUGCGAUGUGUCCGCCCGCGGGCGCAUCUCCGGCCCCUGCGCAGCGAUGGAACGGGGGAUCCAGGGCGGAAACUCAGGGCCCAUCCCGCUGCUGGUUUUGCUCGCAGGGCUCACUCAGCGAAUAGGCUCGAGCGUGAGCGCGCGACUAACGGAGACGGCGCGUUGGUGCUGGUAGCAGAGGAAGGAAGCACCCAUCGGACAUCUGAAUGAGUUUGCUGCAGCUUCCCCGACCACAGCAUAGGCUCUGCAUUUGUAACCAGCUGCUUACUGCAGAGAUUGCUGGCACUGCCCAACCUGCUGUGCAGGAAGCGGCUGCUCAGUGGGUUUCUGUCUCAGAGAAGGACACGCAUGAAUUUAUCUUUGUGCUGCAGGUGAGGUCUGCUGAGCACACGCUGAAAACUGGGCCAGCUUCUGCUCCAGCAGCAGGGGAUGUGACACAACUGCUGCUCCCUCCUUGCAGAGCAGCUCCAGGCAGCAGGCAGACCCCUGCCAGGUCAGAGCUCUUGAGGAAAUGACCCUUUCUUGGGGCAAAAUGGGUGUUCUCAGCCUCGGGCUGCCCACCGGCUCUGUGCUCAGGGGUGGGAGCGUGAAGCCCUCCUUUGGGCAGUUUGAUCCCUCCUUAUGGCUGUGUACAGAGAAGGAAAAUUCCUUGGAACGGGGCCUGGCCUUUGUCUGAUUCUGCAAAUGUGCAAAAGUUUCAGCACUGUGCUUUAACAGAAAUAUUUAUUUAAAUCUUGGCUCUUAUGUUUAUUCUUCCUAGUACUUUGCUGCAUAAAUUACUGCAUUGAAGUUAUAUGCACUGGUAAAGGAGUAUAGAGGCUGUUUGAAAAAGUGGAGGCCUUAAAAUCCAACCGUUAAUGGAAAUUAUUCACUGUAUAAAAGCCAAUUCUUGUGUUAUUUCUCUGCCUUCUACAGCAGUGUUUUUAGAUCAAAUUGCCAUUCACUUUUAAGGAUCUUUUUGUUAGGUGUUAUGAGACCACUUGUGCAAAACUACUAUGGAAACUGUGCUUUGGGUUCAGUAUCAAUGCAAUGGUGUUGCUUUUGAACCCAGAAGAAUGCGUAUUUCUUUAUUUGUAUGGGUGCAAAUCAGAUUUGGAGCUUAAUAAUUACACAAUGACAAAAUGUUUGUCCUCUGUAAUUAAGCGUGAUUUCUUCAAAUCAUAUGUUUAUGUGCCAGCUGGCAAAGUGCUUUUCACCCAAGCAGUCAUGAGUGGAGCGUCUUCAAAUCCUGCUGGCAAACCCGACCUCCCCUCGCUUGUCUGUGCCACGUGGACAGGAGAUACAGAUCAAGGAGGGGAUUCCAUGGCAAGGCUGCCUUCCCAGCCCGGGCCCAGGAGGAUGCAGAUGGCAGGCAUCUGAACACAUGUCCUUGGGUGCUGCUUCAGGACCUGCUAGAACCAAGACAUCAGCCCCACAGAGCAUUCCUCUGGUGUAAUGAUUGCAUUCAUUUCUUGACUUAGAACAAGAUUCCCAGGAGUCUGACUGAGCCUUCCCAAUGGUCAUUGGCCAUUCUUAAAAUAAAAGAAAUAGGGUAAUCUGAUUUGAUGAACAGCAUGUAUUUUAUGGGGAAUCAUGUUCUGUGGUCAAACUUCUAAAUUUGUGUUCAAUGACGCUAUGUUUUCCUAGCUGAAUAGGAACUGUUUCUAUUAAGCAGCACUCAGAAAUGGAAAUGAGGUACAUCACAGGGUGAACCAUACUAGUUAUGAAUGGGGGAGUGGUGCAGCCUUCUUGGAAAUGUCCUUUAGGUAAAUCCCUUUCUGAAAAGGAUUAGUUAAUGUGAUGGGACAUAAUCGCCCUGUCUGGGGUGUGCCUUGUACACCCAGCCUCUUUAUUGAUUUCCUUUGUUGUUACUCAUCUGCUGCAAGAGCACCAGCUGGGUUUCCUGCUAGCACCUGGGCAGGGGAUCACAGGCUCCAAUUGCUGAGCAGCCAGGGAGAGGCACAACAGGUGAUUCAACUUUCACCAGCAUUUCCUCAGUGAGGCUGCCCACAUAGCAGGAGUUAUCUUCUAAGUGUUGGAAAGGGAAUUUGAGUUGCCCACCGAAUCCUUCGAGCACCUGGUUCCUGGUUCGCGGAUGCACUGCACGAUGUGAUUCUGUGUGUAGCAAAAUCCGAAAAGAAUUAAAAAGAAGUGA